GAUGAACGCUGGCGGCGUGCCUAAUACAUGCAAGUCGAGCGAACGGACGAGAAGCUUGCUUCUCUGAUGUUAGCGGCGGACGGGUGAGUAACACGUGGAGAACCUACCUAUAAGACUGGGAUAACUUCGGGAAACCGGAGCUAAUACCGGAUAAUAUUUUGAACCGCAUGGUUCAAAAGUGAAAGACGGUCUUGCUGUCACUUAUAGAUGGAUCCGCGCUGCAUUAGCUAGUUGGUAAGGUAACGGCUUACCAAGGCAACGAUGCAUAGCCGACCUGAGAGGGUGAUAGGCCACACUGGAACUGAGACACGGUCCAGACUCCUACGGGAGGCAGCAGUAGGGAAUCUUCCGCAAUGGGCGAAAGCCUGACGGAGCAACGCCGCGUGAGUGAUGAAGGUCUUCGGAUCGUAAAACUCUGUUAUUAGGGAAGAACAUAUGUGUAAGUAACUGUGCACAUCUUGACGGUACCUAAUCAGAAAGCCACGGCUAACUACGUG
RNAcentral lists this ribosomal RNA (497 nucleotides) under uncultured bacterium. RNAcentral's name for it is "partial 16S ribosomal RNA". It matches the Rfam family "Bacterial small subunit ribosomal RNA", at positions 28 to 507 of the family's 1533-position model. The record is from RNAcentral.